RNAcentral lists this ribosomal RNA (271 nucleotides) under uncultured bacterium. RNAcentral's name for it is "partial 16S ribosomal RNA". It matches the Rfam family "Bacterial small subunit ribosomal RNA", at positions 84 to 354 of the family's 1533-position model. The record is from RNAcentral.
CCUGCCGGCGACCGGCGCACAGGUGAGUAACACGUAUGCAACCUGCCCCUGUCAGGGGGACAACCCGCCGAAAGGCGGGCUAAACCCGCGUACAUGCCACCGGGGCAUCCCGGAGGCAGGAAAGGCUUCGGCCGGACAGGGAUGGGCAUGCGGCGCAUUAGGCAGUAGGCGGGGUAACGGCCCACCUAACCGACGAUGCGUAGGGGUUCUGAGAGGAAGGUCCCCCACACUGGUACUGAGACACGGACCAGACUCCUACGGGAGGCAGCAG